Molecule: ribosomal RNA, 253 nt
Filed under: uncultured bacterium
Lineage: Bacteria
Description: partial 16S ribosomal RNA
Rfam family: Bacterial small subunit ribosomal RNA
Source: RNAcentral
UACGAAGGGGGCUAGCGUUGCUCGGAAUCACUGGGCGUAAAGCGCACGUAGGCGGAUUGCUAAGUCAGGGGUGAAAUCCUGGAGCUCAACUCCAGAACUGCCUUUGAUACUGGCGGUCUCGAGUCCGGGAGAGGUGAGUGGAACUUCGAGUGUAGAGGUGAAAUUCGUAGAUAUUCGCAAGAACACCAGUGGCGAAGGCGGCUCACUGGCCCGGUACUGACGCUGAGGUGCGAAAGCGUGGGGAGCAAACAGG